CGAAGGGUGCAAACGUUGCUCGGAGUUAUUGGGCGUAAAGCGCACGUAGGCGGCUUUGCAAGUCGGAUGUGAAAUCCCUCGGCUUAACCAAGGAAGUGCAUCCGAAACUGCAGAGCUUGAGUACUUAAGAGGAUCGCGGAAUUCCCGGUGUAGAGGUGAAAUUCGUAGAUAUCGGGAGGAACACCAGUGGCGAAGGCGGCGAUCUGGGAAGAUACUGACGCUGAGGUGCGAAAGCGUGGGGAGCAAACGGGAUUAGAUACCCUGGUAGUCCACGCCGUAAACGAUGAGUGCUAGAUGCUGUGGGUAUUGACCCCCGCGGUGUCGCAGCCAACGCGUUAAGCACUCCGCCUGGGGAGUACGGCCGCAAGGCUA
This 372-nucleotide ribosomal RNA is filed under the name uncultured organism. RNAcentral's name for it is "bacterial SSU rRNA". It matches the Rfam family "Bacterial small subunit ribosomal RNA", at positions 526 to 896 of the family's 1533-position model. The record is from RNAcentral.